RNAcentral lists this ribosomal RNA (542 nucleotides) under uncultured archaeon. RNAcentral's name for it is "bacterial SSU rRNA". It matches the Rfam family "Bacterial small subunit ribosomal RNA", at positions 509 to 1050 of the family's 1533-position model. The record is from RNAcentral.
CAGCAGCCGCGGUAAUACGUAGGGUGCGAGCGUUAUCCGGAAUCAUUGGGCGUAAAGAGCUCGUAGGCGGUUCAACAAGUCGGCUGUGAAAGUCCGGGGCUCAACCCCGGAAUUGCAGUCGAUACUGUUGUGACUUGAGUCCGGUAGAGGAGAAUGGAAUUCCCGGUGUAGCGGUGGAAUGCGCAGAUAUCGGGAGGAACACCAGUAGCGAAGGCGGUUCUCUGGGCCGGCACUGACGCUGAGGAGCGAAAGCGUGGGGAGCAAACAGGAUUAGAUACCCUGGUAGUCCACGCCGUAAACGUUGGAUACUAGGUGUGGCGGUCUACCAACGACUGCCGUGCCGAAGCUAACGCAUUAAGUAUCCCGCCUGGGGAGUACGGCCGCAAGGCUAAAACUCAAAGGAAUUGACGGGUCCCCGCACAAGCGGCGGAGCAUGCGGCUUAAUUCGAUGCAACCCGAAGAACCUUACCUGGGUUUGACAUCAUGGGAAAAGCCGUAGAAAUACGGUGUCCGAAAGGGCCCAUGACAGGAGGUGCAUGGCC